CGCGGCCUAUCAGCUUGUUGGUGAGGUAACGGCUCACCAAGGCAUCGACGGGUAGCUGGUCUGAGAGGAUGAUCAGCCACACUGGGACUGAGACACGGCCCAGACUCCUACGGGAGGCAGCAGUAGGGAAUCUUGCGCAAUGGGCGAAAGCCUGACGCAGCAACGCCGCGUGGGGGAUGAAUGCCUUCGGGUUGUAAACCCCUUUCAGCAGGGACGAAAUUGACGGUACCUGCAGAAGAAGGUCCGGCCAACUACGUGCCAGCAGCCGCGGUAAUACGUAGGGACCAAGCGUUGUCCGGAAUUAUUGGGCGUAAAGAGCUCGUAGGCGGUUCAGUAAGUCGGGUGUGAAAACUCAAGGCUCAACCUUGGGACGCCACUCGAUACUGCUGUGACUUGAGUCCGGUAGAGGAGUGUGGAAUUCCUGGUGUAGCGGUGAAAUGCGCAGAUAUCAGGAGGAACACCAGCGGCGAAGGCGGCACUCUGGGCCGGUACUGACGCUGAGGAGCGAAAGCAUGGGGAGCAAACAGGAUUAGAUACCCUGGUAGUCCAUGCCGUAAACGUUGGGCACUAGGUAUGGGACCAUAUCAACGGGUUCCGUGCCGUAGCUAACGCAUUAAGUGCCCCGCCUGGGGAGUACGG
Molecule: ribosomal RNA, 639 nt
Filed under: uncultured Actinomycetes bacterium
Lineage: Bacteria; Bacillati; Actinomycetota; Actinomycetes
Description: bacterial SSU rRNA
Rfam family: Bacterial small subunit ribosomal RNA
Source: RNAcentral